This 497-nucleotide ribosomal RNA is filed under the name uncultured bacterium. Its description in RNAcentral is "partial 16S ribosomal RNA". It matches the Rfam family "Bacterial small subunit ribosomal RNA", at positions 28 to 507 of the family's 1533-position model. The record is from RNAcentral.
GAUGAACGCUGGCGGCGUGCCUAAUACAUGCAAGUCGAGCGAACAGACGAGGAGCUUGCUCCUCUGACGUUAGCGGCGGACGGGUGAGUAACACGUGGAUAACCUACCUAUAAGACUGGGAUAACUUCGGGAAACCGGAGCUAAUACCGGAUAAUAUAUUGAACCGCAUGGUUCAAUAGUGAAAGACGGUUUUGCUGUCACUUAUAGAUGGAUCCGCGCCGCAUUAGCUAGUUGGUAAGGUAACGGCUUACCAAGGCAACGAUGCGUAGCCGACCUGAGAGCGUGAUCGGCCACACUGGAACUGAGACACGGUCCAGACUCCUACGGGAGGCAGCAGUAGGGAAUCUUCCGCAAUGGGCGAAAGCUUGACGGAGCAACGCCGCGUGAGUGAUGAAGGUCUUCGGAUCGUAAAACUCUGUUAUUAGGGAAGAACAAAUGUGUAAGUAACUAUGCACGUCUUGACGGUACCUAAUCAGAAAGCCCCGGCUAACUACGUG